GACGAACGCUGGCGGCGUGCUUAACACAUGCAAGUCGAACGGAAAGGCCCUGCUUUUGUGGGGUGCUCGAGUGGCGAACGGGUGAGUAACACGUGAGUAACCUGCCCUUGACUUUGGGAUAACUUCAGGAAACUGGGGCUAAUACCGGAUAGGAGCUCCUGCUGCAUGGUGGGGGUUGGAAAGUUUCGGCGGUUGGGGAUGGACUCGCGGCUUAUCAGCUUGUUGGUGGGGUAGCGGCUUACCAAGGCUUUGACGGGAAGCCGGCCUGAGAGGGUGACCGGCCACAUUGGGACUGAGAUACGGCCCAGACUCCUACGGGAGGCAGCAGUGGGGAAUAUUGCACAAUGGGCGGAAGCCUGAUGCAGCAACGCCGCGUGCGGGAUGACGGCCUUCGGGUUGUAAACCGCUUUCGCCUGUGACGAAGCGUGAGUGACGGUAAUGGGUAAAGAAGCACCGGCUAACUACGUG
This 468-nucleotide ribosomal RNA is filed under the name uncultured bacterium. Its description in RNAcentral is "partial 16S ribosomal RNA". It matches the Rfam family "Bacterial small subunit ribosomal RNA", at positions 28 to 507 of the family's 1533-position model. The record is from RNAcentral.